RNAcentral lists this ribosomal RNA (266 nucleotides) under uncultured bacterium. Its description in RNAcentral is "partial 16S ribosomal RNA". It matches the Rfam family "Bacterial small subunit ribosomal RNA", at positions 524 to 791 of the family's 1533-position model. The record is from RNAcentral.
UACAGAGGUCUCAAGCGUUGUUCGGAUUCAUUGGGCGUAAAGGGUGUGUAGGUGGCGCGCUAAGUCGGGUGUGAAAUUUCGGAGCUUAACUCCGAAACUGCAUUCGAUACUGGCGUGCUUGAGGACUGGGAGAGGAGACUGGAAUUUACGGUGUAGCAGUGAAAUGCGUAGAUAUCGUAAAGGAAGACCAGUGGCGAAGGCGGGUCUCUGGACAGUUCUGACACUGAGACACGGAAGGCCAGGGAGCAACGGAUUAGAAACCUUGU